This is an unclassified non-coding RNA of Oryctolagus cuniculus (rabbit), 292 nucleotides long. It matches the Rfam family "Metazoan signal recognition particle RNA". Rfam says of the family: The signal recognition particle (SRP) is a universally conserved ribonucleoprotein. It is involved in the co-translational targeting of proteins to membranes. The record is from Ensembl. Lineage: Eukaryota; Metazoa; Chordata; Mammalia; Lagomorpha; Leporidae.
GCCUGUAGUCCCAGCUACUCAGGAGGCUGAGGCCGGAGGAUCGCUUGAGUCCAGGAGUUCUGGGCUGUCGUGCGCUAUGCCGAUCGGGUGUCUGCACUAAGUUCGGCAUCAAUAUGGUGACCUCCCGGGAGCGGGGGACCACCAGGUUGCCUAAGGAGGGGUGAACCGGCCCAGGUCGGAAACGGAGCAGGUCAAAACUCCCGUGCUGAUCAAUAUUGCUUUUUUUAAAGAUUUAUUUCUUUAUUUGAAAGUCAGAGUUGCAGAGGGGGAGAGAGAGAGAGAGAGAGUUCUU